GCCCAGUCAAUGUUUACUCGUGGAGACUCAAUCUACAUUGGCUGUACUAAUACGAGGUCUGCAGGGAAAAAAGAACCUUGUUCACAUGUGCAACAGUUUUCAUUGCGCAAACAAAGGAUAGUCAGCACAUACUCUAUGCCAGAAUCGAAUGCUCACUCGCAUUACUCAGCCAUAACACAGGUUUGGGGAAAUUCUGAGUUUGUAAUGUGUGUUUGCGGACUAGGGCUGUUUGUCUUUGAUGCCUUGAAGGAUGACAGCCUGCACUCUUCUGCGGUGGAUUAUGGUAGUAUCCAAAAGGUAAAAGAUGUUAUCGGUCCAGAUGACAUGUAUUCCCCUACAUUUGACUACUUGGCAUCUCGUGUCCUUCUGAUAUCAAGAGAUCGUCCAGCGCUGUGGAGGC
This 400-nucleotide unclassified non-coding RNA is filed under the name Hevea brasiliensis (rubber tree). Lineage: Eukaryota; Viridiplantae; Streptophyta; Magnoliopsida; Malpighiales; Euphorbiaceae. The record is from RNAcentral.